GCAAUCCUUGGUCUCUCAGGCAGUCUUCAAUUUGAGCCUCCCGGAGGCUUUGCCUUUGCGGCUGCGCAGCCCCCAGCAGUUACAUAGAAGUGGCCACUGCCAUUCUUCCCGCAACCAGACAACCUUCAGGGAUGACAGAGGGACGACCACUUGGUACUGGAUCACCCAUCAGGGGCUCAUCCCUGGGAAGACUAAUGUUUCCUCAGUUACUUGUUGACUGUUUACAGCUCUUCAUUUAGAGGUAGGGACCCAUGAGAUUUCCCCAAUUCAUGUUAGGAUAUCAACUGUUGUUGGAAUUACCCAGGUCUUGUUUAGGCAGUAUUAUUGUUGAGAUUUGAUGGGUAUGGUUUCCCUGACUAGUUAGAAGGCACAAUCUCAUGGCAGGUCCUCUCUGUCUCUGACUUUAAUAAAAGUGUUCUUCUGUUUCUA
Molecule: long non-coding RNA, 429 nt
Filed under: Mus spretus (western wild mouse)
Lineage: Eukaryota; Metazoa; Chordata; Mammalia; Rodentia; Muridae
Description: predicted gene, 37958 (ENSMSPG00010028445.1)
Source: RNAcentral